GUUUGAUUCUGGCUCAGAACGAACGCUGGCAGCGUGGAUUAGGCAUGCAAGUCGAACGUGAAGCCGUUGAACAAUCUUUCGGGAGAGUGAUUCGGUGGAAAGUGGCGGAAGGGUGAGUAACGCGUGGGUGAGCUGUCUCGAAGUUGGGGACAACCAGAUGAAAAUCUGGCUAAUACCGAAUGUGGUCUUCUGGCGCAUGUCAGGAUGACUAAAGGUGGGGAUUCUUCGGAACCUGCCGCUUUGAGAGGUGCCCGCGUGCCAUCAGCUUGUUGGUAGGGUAAUGGCCUACCAAGGCUUACGGCUAGCCGGCCUGAGAGGGUGAUCGGCCACACUGGGACUGAGACACUGCCCAGACUCCUACGGGAGGCUGCAGUCGAGGAUCAUUCGCAAUGCGCGAAAGCGUGACGAUGCGACGCUGCGUGGGGGAUGAAGGCCUUCGGGUCGUAAACUCCUGUCAUGAGGGAACAGUAUCCCUGUAAUUAAUAGUUGCGGGGCUCGAUGGUACCUCAAGAGGAAGCCACGGCUAACUCUGUGCCAGCAGCCGCGGUAAUACAGAGGUGGCGAGCGUUGUUCGGAUUUACUGGGCGUAAAGGGUGCGUAGGUGGUUUUGUGUGUCGGAUGUGAAAUCCCAUGGCUCAACUGUGGAAUUGCAUUCGAAACUGCGGAACUAGAGUGCAGGAUGGGAGAGCGGAAUUCUUGGUGUAGCGGUGAAAUGCGUUGAUAUCAAGAAGAACACCGGUGGCGAAGGCGGCUCUCUGGAAUGCUACUGACACUGAGGCACGAAAGCUGGGGGAGCGAACAGGAUUAGAUACCCUGGUAGUCCCAGCCGUAAACGGUGCACACUUGGUGUGGGGAGAUUUAACCCUCUCCGUGCCGGAGUUAACGCGUUAAGUGUGCCGCCUGGGGAGUACGGCCGCAAGGCUAAAACUCAAAGAAAUUGACGGGGGCCCGCACAAGCGGAGGAGCAUGUGGCUUAAUUCGAUGCAACGCGAAGAACCUUACCAGGGCUUGACAUGGGGACCCUUCGGGGGUGGUAGCGAAAGUUACCUUUACCAUCACAGGUGCUGCAUGGCUGUCGUCAGUUCGUGCCGUGAGGUGUUGGGUUAAGUCCCGUAACGAACGCAACCCUUGUGGCUAGUUGCCACCGGUGGUGAUGAGCCGCCGAGCACUCUAGCCAGACUGCCCGUACAAGCGGGAGGAAGGUGGGGAUGACGUCAAGUCAGUAUGGCCCUUACGUCCUGGGCUGCACACGUGCUACAAUGGUCGGUACAGUGGGAUGCAAUACCGCGAGGUGGAGCAAAUCCCCAAAGCCGCCCUCAGUUCGGAUUGAAGUCUGCAACUCGACUUCAUGAAGUUGGAUUCGCUAGUAACGGCGCAUCAGCUACGGCGCCGUGAAUACGUUCCCGGGCCUUGUACACACCGCCCGUCACAUCAUGAAAGCCGUCUGCACCCGAAGUCGCUGAGCCAACCAUUUAUGGAGGCAGGUGCCGAAGGUGUGGGUGGUGAUUGGGAUGAAGUCGUAACAAGGUA
RNAcentral lists this ribosomal RNA (1530 nucleotides) under metagenome. RNAcentral's name for it is "bacterial SSU rRNA". It matches the Rfam family "Bacterial small subunit ribosomal RNA". The record is from RNAcentral.